UUCCGGUUGAUCCUGCCGGAGGUCACUGCUAUUGGGAUUCGACUAAGCCAUGCGAGUCGAGAGGGUUCGGCCCUCGGCCGACGGCUCAGUAACACGUGGAUAAUCUACCCUAAGGUGGAGGAUAACCUCGGGAAACUGAGAAUAAUACUCCAUAAGUCUAGGAUACUGGAAUGUACUUAGGCUGAAAACUUCGGUGCCCUAGGAUGAGUCUGCGGACUAUCAGGUUGUAGUCAGGGUAAAGACCUGACUAGCCUACAACGGAUACGGGUUGUGAGAGCAAUAACCCGGAGAUGAUAUCUGAGACACGAUAUCAGGCCCUACGGGGCGCAGCAGGCGCGAAAACUUCACACUGCGCGAAAGCGCGAUGAGGGAAUCCCAAGUGCUUGCACGUAAGUGUAAGCUGUUUCUAUGUCUAAAACGCAUAGAGAGUAAGAGCUGGGUAAGACGGGUGCCAGCCGCCGCGGUAA
This 467-nucleotide ribosomal RNA is filed under the name uncultured archaeon. Its description in RNAcentral is "bacterial SSU rRNA". It matches the Rfam family "Archaeal small subunit ribosomal RNA", at positions 1 to 473 of the family's 1478-position model. The record is from RNAcentral.